AUGGACUUCACUUAUAAAGAGUGUUCUCGGUUUCCAAUAUUUUUUUCUCAAGAAAACGCAAAAGAAUUUGUGUUUCAUUUCAUUGAACAGGAAGACAUCAGGGGUACAACCUCCAGAAAGGAGGGACAUGCAGUGAAUUCGCCUGCUGGGUCGGCUGUUUCGGCUGUCAUCACAGUGAAUUUGCUUGCCCCGCAGCGGAUUCCCCUGUCCCGCCCACUGGUUGGCCGCUUCGCCCAACUCGGCUGCCAUGGCAGCAACCGACCCUGGCUUGGGCAGCAGCGCCUCUGCGCCAACCACGACAACCUCCAGCUCUGCUGUCAAGCUCGUUGCCUCGUCACCUUCGCCGUCUGCACCCCCCAUGCUGAUUGCACCGACGCGUGA
RNAcentral lists this ribosomal RNA (381 nucleotides) under Triticum aestivum (bread wheat). Its description in RNAcentral is "partial small subunit ribosomal RNA". Lineage: Eukaryota; Viridiplantae; Streptophyta; Magnoliopsida; Poales; Poaceae. The record is from RNAcentral.